Molecule: ribosomal RNA, 554 nt
Filed under: uncultured bacterium
Lineage: Bacteria
Description: bacterial SSU rRNA
Rfam family: Bacterial small subunit ribosomal RNA
Source: RNAcentral
UCUACGGGAGGCAGCAGUGGGGAAUUUUGCGCAAUGGAGGAAACCCUGACGCAGCAACGCCGCGUGGAGGAUGAAGUCUCUUGGGACGUAAACUCCUUUCGAUAGGGAAGAUAAUGACGGUACCUAUAGAAGAAGCCCCGGCUAACUUCGUGCCAGCAGCCGCGGUAAUACGAGGGGGGCAAGCGUUGUUCGGAAUUAUUGGGCGUAAAGGGCGCGUAGGCGGUUUGGCAAGUUUGGUGUGAAAUCUUCGGGCUCAACUCGAAGUCUGCAUCGAAAACUGCCGGGCUUGAGUAUGGGAGAGGUGAGUGGAAUUUCCGGUGUAGCGGUGAAAUGCGUAGAUAUCGGAAGGAACACCUGUGGCGAAAGCGGCUCACUGGACCAUUACUGACGCUGAGGCGCGAAAGCUAGGGGAGCAAACAGGAUUAGAUACCCUGGUAGUCCUAGCCCUAAACGAUGAUUGUUUGAUGUGGCAGGUACCCAAUCCUGCCGUGUCGAGGCUAACGCGAUAAACAAUCCGCCUGGGGAGUACGGUCGCAAGGCUGAAACUCAAAUGA